CCUACGGGAGGCAGCAGUGAGGAAUAUUGGUCAAUGGGCGUAAGCCUGAACCAGCCAAGUCGCGUGAGGGAUGAAGGUUCUAUGGAUCGUAAACCUCUUUUAUAAGGGAAUAAAGUGUGGGACGUGUCCUAUUUUGUAUGUACCUUAUGAAUAAGGAUCGGCUAACUCCGUUCCAGCAGCCGCGGUAAUCCGGAGGAGCCGAGCGUUAUCCGGAUUUAUUUGGUUUAAAGGGUGCGUAGGCGGGGUUUUAAGUCCGCGGGGAAAGUGUGGGGCUAAACCAUAGAAUUGCCGUUGAAACUGGGGGCCUUGAGUGUGUUAGAGGAAGGCGGAAUGCGUGGUGUAGCGGUGAAAUGCAUAGAUAUCACGCAGAACCCCGAUUGCGAAGGCAGCCUGCC
Molecule: ribosomal RNA, 395 nt
Filed under: uncultured bacterium
Lineage: Bacteria
Description: partial 16S ribosomal RNA
Rfam family: Bacterial small subunit ribosomal RNA
Source: RNAcentral